AUGAUGGAUCCCGACGCCAAGGAGGGCGGGCCACUCGAAGAAGCUGGCGGCGCCGGCGCCGAGAGUGGUCCCUGCGACGGCAGCGCCGAAUGCGGCGUCGCCUCCCCCUUCCGCUGGCUGCGGCGGCUCUCCCGCGAGCUGCACUGGAGCUUCGUGCUCGCCGUCUUCGCCGUCUACGGGGCCUGCCAGGGCGUGGGCAACGCCGUCGGGGUGGUCGCCGCCUCGUACUACAGCAAGGACGUGCUGCGCCUCCAGCCGUCCGCGGCACAGUUCUACCAGGGCAUCGUCGACUCGCCGUGGGUCGUCAAGCCCAUCUGGGGCCUGCUCACCGACGUCGUGCCCGUCGCCGGGUACCGCCGCCGCCCCUACUUCCUUCUCGCAGGCGUGAUUGGCGCCACAUCCAUGCUUAUGAUCUCCCUGCAAAGCAAUCUGGGGCUCAUACCGGCGGUCCUAGCCCUCACGGCGCAGAGCGCAGGCGCGGCGAUAGCCGACGUGACGCUGGACGCGCUGGUUGCGCAGAACAGCAUAACACAUCCGCCGCUCGCCGCCGACAUGCAGAGCCUGUGCGGGUUUUGCUCCUCAUUUGGGUCAUUGAUUGGGUACUCCAUCAGCGGCCUUCUUGUCCACUCCAUGGGCGCUCAGGGGGCUCUUGGCUUGUUGAGCAUCCCCUCAGCACUGGUGUUCUCAGCUGGGAUUCUCCUGAAGGAGAGCAGAGUGACAAACUUCAAUUACAAGCAGGUUCAUAAGAAGUUCUACAAAGCAAUUCGGUCAACGGGGACAACACUGAAGUGCCCUGAAGUCUGGCGGCCGUGUUUGUACAUAUAUGUUUCGCUCAAUCUAAGCCUGGACAUCCAAGGAGGGAUGUUCUACUGGUACACAGAUCGAUUAAAUGGACCAGGAUUUUCUGAGGAAUUUAUUGGUGUGAUCUAUGCAGUCGGUGCAGUGGGUUCACUACUCGGGGUUGUCCUAUACCAAAGUGCUCUAAAGGACUAUGAUUUCCGCAGCAUGCUUUUAUGGGGUCAGGUGCUGUCAAGCCUGACAGGGAUGCUUGAUCUAGCGCUGGUGACCCGACUAAACACGAAGGUCGGCAUACCAGACUACGUUUUCGCGGUGAUCGACUGCGGCGUUUCUGUAAUGGUCGGCAAGCUUCAGUGGAUGCCGGUUCUCGUGCUUUGCUCCAAGCUUUGUCCUCCGGGCAUCGAAGGAACCUUCUAUGCCCUGCUCAUGUCGAUACAAAAUGUGGGGCUGCUUAUGUCUGCCUGGUGGGGUGGCCUGCUGCUGCACACGCUGAAUGUGACUCGAUCGGAGUUCACUAACCUUUGGGCAGUUGUAUUGAUCAGAAACGUCUCGAGGCUACUUCCGCUGAUGCUACUGUUUCUUGUUCCUCAAAGCGACCAGAACUCGACGCUCCUUCCUGCGGAGAUGCUCCAUGAUGACGAAUCUACAGAAGCUGUCAAGGAUGGAUCAGGCAGUGUUGAGUUUUCCGUCCUUGUUGCGGAUGGUUCAGGUUGUCAUCCUUCCGUUGAGGAUGUUCAAGAUGAGAGAAUCAAAGUGACUGAUGAUGUAGGAGGGGAUGUAGAGUUGAUCCCACUGAUGAACACGAACAGAACAGUUGGGUGA
RNAcentral lists this ribosomal RNA (1620 nucleotides) under Triticum aestivum (bread wheat). RNAcentral describes it as "partial small subunit ribosomal RNA". Lineage: Eukaryota; Viridiplantae; Streptophyta; Magnoliopsida; Poales; Poaceae. The record is from RNAcentral.